CCGAGCCCUCGCGACCGCGGGGUUCCGGACCGGAGUGGCUAGGUCCAGACGGGAGCCUCUGGGUUCUACGAGCGCGCCGGGUCCGCCCUGAGCAGGCUGAGGUGUGGCGGGCUGCCGGGCGGCGCGGCGUCCUGACGGCUGGGGCGGGCCCGGAGCUGCCGAGCCGGGUGGACAGGUGGGCGUGGGCAAGCGCGGCCGGCGGAACUGGCUGGCCGUCCCGCCGAGGCCCUGACCCCUGGGGGUGCACUGGCUGCCGGGGUCAGAUGCACGCUGACCUUUCUCCGGAGGAAAGAUAAAUUAUUAUGGUUGUGGGUGAGCGUCAGUGCAAAUGUUUUCCCGAGUCCUCCUCCGGCUCCGGGUGCUGUUUGAAUCCCCCGCAUUCCUCAGCCCUGGGCAGGGAGCGGCAGCGGCCUUUGUGUCUCAGGGGAGCGCAUGCCACCUCGGAGGAGACAGCGGACCAGAGUUAAAGAACAGGGAGGACAUUAGCGUGAGAUUUUUGUUUUUUCAAAAUCUUUUAAAGGGUCCCAGUGAAACUAGAAACGUAAAACUUAACUUCAACAGCAAAUGUUGUGGGUUUUACAGACGUCUGUUUCUUUGUCUUUUUCAUGCCCUCCUCCCUGCCAAAAAUAUUUGUUCGCUGGAGAGCAUAUCCCGAAACAGCGAUUUACCCCCAUUCAUCCAGUGUGAAGAUGUGUUUUCUCUCUGCCAGUUGGAUUUCUGCUUUUGUGGGAGAGAAGAGCAUCUGCCCCCCAUGCUUUGUCUGCUCCGCGACGGCCAUGGCACAGCAGAGCUACAUAAGGAAGCUUUUCAGCCCAGGAGCCGGGUGUUGAACUCGUGCCAUGGGGAAUGAAUUCUUCAAUAGACCCCUCGUCCUCUGCUGGAAGUUAAAGAGGGGCGGUUUGCAGAAAAGCAUAUGUGUGCGAAUGUGUCUUCCUGUCCUGGCGUUCCGUUCUUUUGUGCCUUUAAGUUCUGCUUCUGUGUGGACUCGUUUUUUUUUUUAUUGCUAUGAGUUCCCUGGUGGCAGUGCAGCUCAGGACCCUCGCCAGCCUACACACACACACACACACACACACACAAUGUAGCUCCUACUGAUAGCAGCAGUGUAAACUGAUUCUGACAGUUAAGAGCUUUAUUCCUGCUGAGCAAUGACUGGCUCUUACAGAAUUAGUUUGCAAAGCUAGCAAUUAGAUAACUAAUGUCCAUGAUACUGUAUUGCUAAAGGGAAAAUCCAGUAUUGCUAGAAAUCAAGUAUGGACUCCACAGAGUUGUUUUUAUGGGGAAUAUGUGUGUGUGUAUGUGUGCGCGCGCGCCAGUAGAGAAGCCACUGUACAGUGGAGGGUUUAUAGAUGGCUUCAGUCACUGUCAUUUAUCAUUGGAUUCUGAUUUACGUAAAGGCUCCAUCUAUAUCAGUUUGAGCAGUGAAUCGGUUACCAAACUAUAAUUCAUAAUAACUCAUUAGUUUAUUGAUAAAGGCUUAAAAGCAGUCUGAAAUAUCCAGAAUACCUGUGAUUCUCAGUCAUAAAUGCUCCAAGAACUAUUUUGUAUUUAGCUUUAGGUUGAACCAUUCCUCCAGUAAUUGUCAUUGAGACACAAGGAGAAGUGGGGAGUGGUUACCCAGGCCUCUGCUCCAAGAAUAGGGAUGUGGGGUAGGAAGAUCAGGAUUUAUAUAAGUUCAAGAAAAAGAAAAAGGUACCAAAAUAAUACUCUGAAUCAUGUGUUGUGAUAUCCCAUGUAAGAAUAAACAGACAUGGCCAUCAUGAUGGUAAUAAUCCAUAACCUGAAUAUGAGGGGACAGGGACUUAGGCUGGAAGAUUGCAAAUCCUUGGGCAACUUAGGAAAACCAUGUCUCAAAAUCAGGGCUUACUGAGGCUGUGGUUGAGUGUUACAGAGGGUCCUGACACACAUGAGGCCCUGGGUUCUGUCAUCGUAUCAGAAAAAGAAUUAUGCCUAAAGAAAGUCAAAUGAUGUGUAAAAAUAAAAUCAUGAUCCUUCUUGGUUCAUAGCACGAUGACUGGUCAUGCAUGAUGGCAUGAUAUAGAAAAGAAGGAAGAAAAGCCUAAGAUUCUGUACGUUUUGUUAACCACAUCCGUACAGAAUCAGUGAAGGAUGAUUGUGUGUGACGCCAGAGAAGGCUGCCCUGGAUGAGGCCGACUUUAUAAUCUGCUGAUCGGUUUUGAAAUUUGUUUCCACUUUAUAUUUAGCUCCUGAUUUCCCCUUCUAAAUGUGUUAAAAUAGUUAUAUAUUAAAGAAUAAGAACCAUCAGUUAGCUUGUUUUUCUCUCUUUUUUGACAGUCUCCUGUAUCUCAGGCUGGCCUUGUCAUUAAGUAGCCAAAGAUGGAUGACUCGACCUUCGAACCCUCCUCCCUUUGUUCUCCAGAAUAGCAGACUGGGGUGGGGGGGGGGGGUGUCACUACUUCCAGCUUAUGCAGUACUGGGGGUUUGAACACUUGGCUUCCUGUAUGCCUGACAAGUCCUCUACCAACUGAACUACAUCCCUAGCCCUUUGAAAUUUAUUUUUAAUAAAGUAUUUUUAAAAACCAAA
Arvicola amphibius (Eurasian water vole) is the source of this 2542-nucleotide long non-coding RNA. RefSeq lists it as uncharacterized. NCBI's taxonomy places the organism in Eukaryota, Metazoa, Chordata, Mammalia, Rodentia, Cricetidae. The transcript has 2 exons. The record is from RefSeq and is a predicted model, not a curated record.